UGGAUCCGCCCAAUGGUGAGAGUU
RNAcentral lists this non-coding RNA (24 nucleotides) under Arabidopsis thaliana (thale cress). Lineage: Eukaryota; Viridiplantae; Streptophyta; Magnoliopsida; Brassicales; Brassicaceae. The record is from RNAcentral.